This 444-nucleotide ribosomal RNA is filed under the name uncultured Phaeosphaeria. Its description in RNAcentral is "eukaryotic LSU rRNA". The stretch from base 2 to 137 matches the Rfam family "5.8S ribosomal RNA", at positions 19 to 154 of the family's 154-position model. Lineage: Eukaryota; Fungi; Ascomycota; Dothideomycetes; Pleosporales; Phaeosphaeriaceae. The record is from RNAcentral.
CUCUUGGUUCUGGCAUCGAUGAAGAACGCAGCGAAAUGCGAUAAGUAGUGUGAAUUGCAGAAUUCAGUGAAUCAUCGAAUCUUUGAACGCACAUUGCGCCCCUUGGUAUUCCAUGGGGCAUGCCUGUUCGAGCGUCAUUUGUACCCUCAAGCUCUGCUUGGUGUUGGGUGUUUGUCCUAUUCUUUGCAAUAGGACUCGCCUUAAAACAAUUGGCAGCCAGUGUUUUGGCAUUGAAGCGCAGCACAUUUUGCAAUUCAAGCCCCUAGCACUUGCGUCCAUAAAGCGUAUUUUUACACUUUUGACCUCGGAUCAGGUAGGGAUACCCGCUGAACUUAAGCAUAUCAAUAAGCCGGAGGAAAAGAAACCAACAGGGAUUGCCCUAGUAACGGCGAGUGAAGCGGCAACAGCUCAGAUCUGAACUCUGGCUCUAUUAGGGUCCGAGUU